Long non-coding RNA from Rosa chinensis, 987 nucleotides. RefSeq lists it as uncharacterized. The transcript is spliced from 3 exons. Lineage: Eukaryota; Viridiplantae; Streptophyta; Magnoliopsida; Rosales; Rosaceae. The record is from RefSeq and is a predicted model, not a curated record.
UUCCAACAUAUACUGGAGUCAAUUUUUUUUAAUUUUUAUCUCUCAAAUUUGAAAGCCCGCUCUGUCUUUAAGCCCGAUCAUUCAGUCAUUCGGUCAAACUCUGAGCUUUCUCAAGUCUCGAGCAGUUCGCCCCUUCUCUUUUCUUUCCCUCUCAUCAGAUCUAGAAUCGUAGAAAGCUAGAGCAGUUGCAGAAGGCAUGGACCCAAAAGCCGUGAAAUCGGACCUAGUCCUCAUCCUCGACUACGGCUCCCAAUACACCCACCUCAUCGCUCGCCGCAUCCGAUCCCUCUCCGUCUUCUACCUCACCAUCUUCAGCACCAGCCCCCUCAAGCCCAUCACAUGGAGACAAAUUGGGUUUAAACCCCAGAGUAAUUGAGUGUUGGAGAGCCGAUUUCAGCCCUCUCUGUUCCAAUUUCCAAAAGGUAGCAAAUUCCAUCCCUAACCCAGAGUUCGAUUUCGAUUCGCAGCAGUCAAUUUGAGCUAGAUUGGAGGUCGAUUCGCAGUAGGCUAUUUGAAGGUAUUGGAGUUGGAUACUUGGAUUCGCAACAGGCCAUUUGAAGAUUGUGCCAGCAAUAACUGAGCUUCUGAAUGCUCAAUUUAUGUGGAUGGAUUAUGAUAACCCCUUGAAGACUAUAUAUCUGUACAUAAAUUCAUUUGGAACACAGUGAGAGAGAAAAGCAAGCAACAUGUACACACAAAAUGAUAUUGAUGAGGUUCGGGCCGAGUGGGCACAAGAUAUAUAUAUAUAUCUGCUUUUGGACAUGCAUCACCUAUAUAACCCAGAUUUGAAAGCUAUAGGGACUAGUUUUUUGCGUUACAUGCUCGAUACUGUGAUGUUUGUUGGGUUGUCUUUAUCGAUCAUGUCUUUUGUUUCAUGGAUGGGUUGAAUUGAACUGAUGCAUAGCAGGUUGUGUUAUAUACUGAAUGAUGAGAUGGCAUUUUCUGGAUUUCCAGAUUACCUAAUGAACAGUACAUAAUGAUUUUUCA